AAAUUUUCUAAAAAUGUGAAAUUCAUAAUUCCAUUGUUAUUUUUUCAUCAGGAUUACCAAUAACAGUUGGAAAGUCAGGAUUCUCACCUUUUUUUGUUACCAUUUCCUGGAAUUUUAUAGUACAGACUAUCGCUAUAUUGUUCUUCGUUGAUCUGAUGCAGCAUGCUCAAAUGUACCUUCUCAAUACUCAAGAGAAACAUCUAGAGACUGUUCCUCUUAACGAGUUGCAUAGUGAAGACCACUCAAUGGAUAAUAGCAAUUCUG
This is a long non-coding RNA of Anneissia japonica, 264 nucleotides long. RefSeq lists it as uncharacterized. The record is from RefSeq and is a predicted model, not a curated record. The transcript is spliced from 3 exons. Lineage: Eukaryota; Metazoa; Echinodermata; Crinoidea; Comatulida; Comatulidae.